This 390-nucleotide ribosomal RNA is filed under the name Lactobacillus delbrueckii subsp. bulgaricus. Its description in RNAcentral is "partial 23S ribosomal RNA". It matches the Rfam family "Bacterial large subunit ribosomal RNA", at positions 1138 to 1531 of the family's 2925-position model. Lineage: Bacteria; Bacillati; Bacillota; Bacilli; Lactobacillales; Lactobacillaceae. The record is from RNAcentral.
UAGCUCACUAGUCGAGUGACGCCGCGCCGAAAAUUUACCGGGGCUAAGCAUGAUACCGAAACUGUGGAUGUGCAUUUAUGCACGUGGUAGGAGAGCGUUCUAGCGGCGGUGAAGCAUGACCGAGAGGACAUGUGGAGCUUCUAGAAGUGAGAAUGCCGGUAUGAGUAACGAAAGACAGGUGAGAAUCCUGUCCGCCGCAAGACUAAGGUUUCCUGGGGCAGGCUCGUCCGCCCAGGGUAAGUCGGGACCUAAGGCGAGGCCGAGAGGCGUAGUCGAUGGACAACAGGUUGAAAUUCCUGUACUGCACCGAAUCGUUAUGAGCGAUGGAGGGACGCAGGAGGCUAGCAGCGCGUGGUGCUGGAUACCACGUUCAAGCGUCAAGUCUGAGAG